AACUUGGCUCAGUGGUAGUAUUGUAGUCAAUGAGGUUUAUCCAAGGCGUGAUUAUUGCUAACUGAAACGUAGUGUCCAGGAGCUGAGGUCACACUCUUCCCUUUAGCUCUGCUCUGCUUUGGUAAGC
Molecule: small nuclear RNA, 127 nt
Filed under: Mus pahari (shrew mouse)
Lineage: Eukaryota; Metazoa; Chordata; Mammalia; Rodentia; Muridae
Description: snRNA (MGP_PahariEiJ_G0033748.1)
Rfam family: U4 spliceosomal RNA
About the family: U4 small nuclear RNA (U4 snRNA) is a component of the major U2-dependent spliceosome. The structure of U4 snRNA from yeast and human has been reported. U4 snRNA presents a k-turn RNA motif in the 5p-SL related to recognition of Snu13 protein.
Source: RNAcentral